UACGUAGGGUGCAAGCGUUGUCCGGAAUUAUUGGGCGUAAAGAGCUCGUAGGCGGUUUGUCGCGUCUGCCGUGAAAGUCCGGGGCUCAACUCCGGAUCUGCGGUGGGUACGGGCAGACUAGAGUGAUGUAGGGGAGACUGGAAUUCCUGGUGUAGCGGUGAAAUGCGCAGAUAUCAGGAGGAACACCGAUGGCGAAGGCAGGUCUCUGGGCAUUAACUGACACUGAGGCACGAAAGCGUGGGUAGCAAACAGG
RNAcentral lists this ribosomal RNA (253 nucleotides) under uncultured bacterium. Its description in RNAcentral is "partial 16S ribosomal RNA". It matches the Rfam family "Bacterial small subunit ribosomal RNA", at positions 524 to 776 of the family's 1533-position model. The record is from RNAcentral.